RNAcentral lists this ribosomal RNA (504 nucleotides) under uncultured Caryophanales bacterium. Its description in RNAcentral is "bacterial SSU rRNA". It matches the Rfam family "Bacterial small subunit ribosomal RNA", at positions 8 to 507 of the family's 1533-position model. Lineage: Bacteria; Bacillati; Bacillota; Bacilli; Caryophanales. The record is from RNAcentral.
AGAGUUUGUAUCCUGGCUCAGGAUGAACGCUGGCGGCGUGCCUAAUACAUGUAAGUUGAGCGAACCUUUCGGGGUUAGCAGCGGACGGGUGAGUAACACGUAGGCAACCUACCUUAUAGUUGGGGAUAACACCGAGAAAUCGGUGCUAAUACCGAAUAACACCUAUUCUCUCAUGAUGAUAAGUUGAAAGUUGGCUUUUGCUAACACUAUAAGAUGGGCCUGCGGUGCAUUAGCUAGUUGGUAAGGUAACGGCUUACCAAGGCAACGAUGCAUAGCCGACCUGAGAGGGUGAUCGGCCACACUGGGACUGAGACACGGCCCAGACUCCUACGGGAGGCAGCAGUAGGGAAUCUUCCGCAAUGGACGAAAGUCUGACGGAGCAACGCCGCGUGAGUGAUGAAGGCUUUCGGGUCGUAAAACUCUGUUGUUAGGGAAGAACAAGUAUUAUUCGAAUAGGAUAAUACCUUGACGGUACCUAACCAGAAAGCCACGGCUAACUACGUG